This 305-nucleotide ribosomal RNA is filed under the name uncultured bacterium. RNAcentral describes it as "partial 16S ribosomal RNA". It matches the Rfam family "Bacterial small subunit ribosomal RNA", at positions 334 to 653 of the family's 1533-position model. The record is from RNAcentral.
UUGUCCUACGGGGGGCAGCAGUGGGGAAUAUUGGACAAUGGGGGGAACCCUGAUCCAGCGACGCCGCGUGAGUGAAGAAGUAUUUCGGUAUGUAAAGCUCUAUCAGCAGGGAAGAAAGAAAUGACGGUACCUGACUAAGAAGCCCCGGCUAACUACGUGCCAGCAGCCGCGGUAAUACGUAGGGGGCAAGCGUUAUCCGGAUUUACUGGGUGUAAAGGGAGCGUAGACGGCGAUGCAAGUCUGAAGUGAAAGGCGGGGGCCCAACCCCCGGACUGCUCUUGGAACUGCGUGGCUGGAGUGCAGGG